This 21-nucleotide microRNA is filed under the name Heliconius melpomene (postman butterfly). RNAcentral describes it as "hme-miR-928". Its record names the gene hme-miR-928. Lineage: Eukaryota; Metazoa; Arthropoda; Insecta; Lepidoptera; Nymphalidae. The record is from miRBase by way of RNAcentral.
GUGGCUGUGGAAGCUCGCAAA